Molecule: ribosomal RNA, 712 nt
Filed under: uncultured Clostridium sp.
Lineage: Bacteria; Bacillati; Bacillota; Clostridia; Eubacteriales; Clostridiaceae
Description: bacterial SSU rRNA
Rfam family: Bacterial small subunit ribosomal RNA
Source: RNAcentral
GAUGAACGCUGGCGGCGUGCCUAACACAUGCAAGUCGAGCGAUCUUCUUCGGAAGGGAGCGGCGGACGGGUGAGUAACGCGUGGGUAACCUGCCCUGUACACACGGAUAACAUACCGAAAGGUAUGCUAAUACGGGAUAACAUAAGAAAGUCGCAUGGCUUUCUUAUCAAAGCUUUUGCGGUACAGGAUGGACCCGCGUCUGAUUAGCUAGUUGGUAAGGUAACGGCUUACCAAGGCGACGAUCAGUAGCCGACCUGAGAGGGUGAUCGGCCACAUUGGAACUGAGACACGGUCCAAACUCCUACGGGAGGCAGCAGUGGGGAAUAUUGCACAAUGGGCGAAAGCCUGAUGCAGCAACGCCGCGUGAGCGAUGAAGGCCUUCGGGUCGUAAAGCUCUGUCCUCAAGGAAGAUAAUGACGGUACUUGAGGAGGAAGCCCCGGCUAACUACGUGCCAGCAGCCGCGGUAAUACGUAGGGGGCUAGCGUUAUCCGGAAUUACUGGGCGUAAAGGGUGCGUAGGCGGUCUUUCAAGUCAGAAGUGAAAGGCUACGGCUCAACCGUAGUAAGCUUUUGAAACUGUAAGACUUGAGUGCAGGAGAGGAGAGUGGAAUUCCUAGUGUAGCGGUGAAAUGCGUAGAUAUUAGGAGGAACACCAGUUGCGAAGGCGGCUCUCUGGACUGUAACUGACGCUGAAGCACGAAAGCGUGGGGAG